UGGGGAAUAUUGGACAAUGGGCGCAAGCCUGAUCCAGCCAUGCCGCGUGAGUGAUGAAGGCCCUAGGGUUGUAAAGCUCUUUCACCGGUGAAGAUAAUGACGGUAACCGGAGAAGAAGCCCCGGCUAACUUCGUGCCAGCAGCCGCGGUAAUACGAAGGGGGCUAGCGUUGUUCGGAUUUACUGGGCGUAAAGCGCACGUAGGCGGACUUUUAAGUCAGGGGUGAAAUCCCGGGGCUCAACCCCGGAACUGCCUUUGAUACUGGAAGUCUUGAGUAUGGUAGAGGUGGGUGGAAUUCCGAGUGUAGAGGUGAAAUUCGUAGAUAUUCGGAGGAACACCAGUGGCGAAGGCGGCUCACUGGACCAUUACUGACGCUGAGGUGCGAAAGCGUAGGGAGCAAACAGG
Molecule: ribosomal RNA, 404 nt
Filed under: Actinomycetes bacterium
Lineage: Bacteria; Bacillati; Actinomycetota; Actinomycetes
Description: Actinobacteria bacterium partial 16S ribosomal RNA
Rfam family: Bacterial small subunit ribosomal RNA
Source: RNAcentral